CCACGCCGUAAACGAUGAAUACUAGGUGUAGGGGUUGUCAUGACCUCUGUGCCGCCGCAAACGCAUUAAGUAUUCCGCCUGGGGAGUACGGUCGCAAGAUUAAAACUCAAAGGAAUUGACGGGGGCCCGCACAAGCAGCGGAGCAUGUGGUUUAAUUCGAAGCAACGCGAAGAACCUUACCUAGACUUGACAUCUCCUGCAUUACUCUUAAUCGAGGAAGUUCCUUCGGGGACAGGAUGACAGGUGGUGCAUGGUUGU
RNAcentral lists this ribosomal RNA (258 nucleotides) under uncultured bacterium. RNAcentral describes it as "partial 16S ribosomal RNA". It matches the Rfam family "Bacterial small subunit ribosomal RNA", at positions 795 to 1052 of the family's 1533-position model. The record is from RNAcentral.